RNAcentral lists this long non-coding RNA (947 nucleotides) under Nicotiana benthamiana. RNAcentral's name for it is "long non-coding RNA (NBEN_LNC041364)". The record is from RNAcentral. Lineage: Eukaryota; Viridiplantae; Streptophyta; Magnoliopsida; Solanales; Solanaceae.
CCGUAUAUUUUAGAAGCCCAAAAUUUUCCCCAAUUCAGUCCAAAACGGAUCGACCCGACCCAAUACCCAAUACUCAGCCCUACGACCCUAGACUCUAUUAUGGAUAGAGUAACGUAUAUACUCCGGAGAGAAAAGCAGCGCCGCUGAUCAUCACACGAGACCCCUUCCCGUCAAAAGAGUCGUCUUCUUCACAGCCAACAACACCCCCUAUCGAUCUUCUUCUCUUUCAGAGCAUAAGAGUCAGCUUCCAUGGCUGCUCCUUAACCAGAAAAAACCAACGAACCCUGACCAAACCUGCGACACCAUCAACCCGCCGGCCAACCCCAACAUCGCCCCGUUCCUCAAAUCUCCAAAACCAGUCGACCACCACACUGUACACACUCAGUCAACAAAAAAAAAGAGAAAAAGAUCGAAGAUAUAUAUUUCUGCCUCUUCAUUUCAUUUUCGGUUUUUGAAAGAUUAAGAAAACAAGACAGAAAUUUACAAUCGAAAGUAUUUCGCUGCUUCUUUCCUCGGUUUUAAUUUUCGUUCUCAAAUUAUGGAUUUCGCUUGAGUUCAAUUGGGUCGUUGCCAGUUCGACUGUCCGCUCGUGGCUCCUGUUCUCGAUUCCGUUGUUAAAUUAGCUGCUGUCACUCUUUUGUUGAGUUUUGGAGUCAGAAUUUGUAACUAAAUCUUCUCAGUUUCUGCUAUUAGAAAGACCUUGCUUAACAGGAAGAAACUGCUAAGCAGGUUCGAGUCUAGGUUUUGUUUAAGUUUGCGGUUCCUAUCAUAGUUCUUAUUGUUAUCAUUGCAUUUCAUUUGGAUUUUGGAAUCAAGGAUUGUUUGUUUAUUAAUUCAGCAAUUCGUUGAGCUCUUCUUUAUUUUUUCGAUCCGGAAUAUUAGGAUUCAAGUUUCAGGAGAGCCAUCAAAAGAUGGAUUGAGUUACUACUUGUCAUUGGGAUUUACUA